CAGUCGCCGCGGUAAUACGGAGGGGGCUAGCGUUGUUCGGAAUUACUGGGCGUAAAGCGUACGUAGGCGGCUUUGUAAGUUAGAGGUGAAAGCCUGAUGCUCAACAUCAGAAUUGCCUUUAAGACUGCAUCGCUUGAACGUCGGAGAGGUGAGUGGAAUUCCGAGUGUAGAGGUGAAAUUCGUAGAUAUUCGCAAGAACACCAGUGGCGAAGGCGGCUCACUGGCCCAUAACUGACGCUGAAGCACGAAAGCGUGGGGAGCAAACAGGAUUAGAUACCCCCGUAGUCCCUGUCUCUUAUAC
This 301-nucleotide ribosomal RNA is filed under the name uncultured bacterium. Its description in RNAcentral is "partial 16S ribosomal RNA". It matches the Rfam family "Bacterial small subunit ribosomal RNA", at positions 509 to 807 of the family's 1533-position model. The record is from RNAcentral.